UGUCUAAGUACGAGCCGUGUUCACACGGCGAGACCGCGUACGGCUCAUUAAAUCAGUCGUGGUCCAAAUGGGCCAGUGCUUAUCCUACUUGGAUAACUGUGGUAAUUCCAGAGCUAAUAUAUGCAACUCAUACCCCGAAGGCCGCGCUCUUGCAGUGUGCGCUGGACGGGUGCUUUUAUUAGACCAAACCGCUGAGGGUGUGUUAGCCUCCCGGGGCGCACGCUUGACUCGCAUGAUGGUGACUCUGGAUAACCUUUGACAAGCGCACGUACCACUCUUUUGAGCGGACGGCGCUGCCACUUUCGAGUGUCUGCCUUAUCAGCUAUCAACCGUUCGUUACGUGCGACCGAUGGCUUUGACGGGUAACGGGGAAUCAGGGUUCGAUUCCGGAGAGGCAGCCUGAGAGACGGCUACCACGUCCAAGGACGGCAGCAGGCGCGCAAAUUACCCAAUCCCAGCUUCUGGGGGAGGUAGUGACGAAAUCUAACGAUGCGGGCGCCCUUUCUAGGGCCCCGCAAUCGGAAUGAGCACUUUCUAAACAACCUGUUGAGAACCUACUGAAGGGCAAGUCUGGUGCCAGCAGCCGCGGUAAUUCCAGCUUCAGCAGCAUCUAUUAAAGUUGCUGCGGUUAAAAGGCUCGCAGUUGAAUGUCAGUGCCGGGCGCAGGUUAGGUGGACGCUGGGGUGUGAGAACCAACACGGCACGGGCUUCGUCUGGAUGCUUGUCAGCUUGCUGGCCUUCCAGGGGUGGCACCGACCGUGUCUCACAAACUCCCGUCCGUGACAAGCCUCCUCGCCCGCGUACAUAUGGGAAUUGGUUUCGGAGGCGUGCGAACGGCGGCUUCUCUCACGUGUGUGCUGGCUCACGCUGGCCAUACCUGGGGUUGUGUCAGCCACGUGCGUUCUCUUUGUGGUUUCAGAGUCACCUUGAGUAAAUCAGAGUGCUCAAAGCAGUCGUAGGGGCCUUGCGCCCUGUGAAAAGUCUUGACGGACUGACUGGUUAUGCAUGGCAUGUCGGAAGACGACGUCGCGUGCUGGCUCAGAGCUUGAUCAGUGGUAUAAGCCAGCCGCGACGUACUGAUUAAAAGGGACGGUCGAGG
This 1099-nucleotide ribosomal RNA is filed under the name Crangonyx sp. 1 TRS-2023a. RNAcentral describes it as "SSU rRNA". It matches the Rfam family "Eukaryotic small subunit ribosomal RNA", at positions 56 to 887 of the family's 1831-position model. The record is from RNAcentral. Lineage: Eukaryota; Metazoa; Arthropoda; Malacostraca; Amphipoda; Crangonyctidae.